CGCGUGUACUGGUCCGGGCCGGGCCUUUCCCUCUGUGGAACCCCAUGCCCUUCACUGGGUGUGGCGGGGAAACAGGACUUUUACUGUGAAAAAAUUAGAGUGCUCCAGGCAGGCCUAUGCUCGAAUACAUUAGCAUGGAAUAAUAGAAUAGGACGUGUGGUUCUAUUUUGUUGGUUUCUAGGACCGCCGUAAUGAUUAAUAGGGACAGUCGGGGGCAUCAGUAUUCAAUUGUCAGAGGUGAAAUUCUUGGAUUUAUUGAAGACUAACUACUGCGAAAGCAUUUGCCAAGGAUGUUUUCAUUAAUCAGGAACGAAAGUUAGGGGAUCGAAGACGAUCAGAUACCGUCGUAGUCUUAACCAUAAACUAUGCCGACUAGGGAUCGGACGGUGUUAUAUUUUGACCCGUUCGGCACCUUACGAGAAAUCAAAGUGCUUGGGCUCCAGGGGGAGUAUGGUCGCAAGGCUGAAACUUAAAGAAAUUGACGGAAGGGCACCACCAGGGGUGGAGCCUGCGGCUUAAUUUGACUCAACACGGGGAAACUCACCAGGUCCAGACACAAUGAGGAUUGACAGAUUGAGAGCUCUUUCUUGAUUUUGUGGGUGGUGGUGCAUGGCCGUUCUUAGUUGGUGGAGUGAUUUGUCUGCUUAAUUGCGAUAACGAACGAGACCUUAACCUGCUAAAUAGCCCGUAUUGCUUUGGCAGUACGCUGGCUUCUUAGAGGGACUAUCGG
This 730-nucleotide ribosomal RNA is filed under the name uncultured eukaryote. RNAcentral describes it as "SSU rRNA". It matches the Rfam family "Eukaryotic small subunit ribosomal RNA", at positions 669 to 1426 of the family's 1831-position model. The record is from RNAcentral.